CACCUGUGACCUAAUAAAAUGGCGGUCACUUGUUUAUGAGCCAUCUCCCUUCAGCUUUUUUAGCCGACCUGUUUACCUCCAACUUUGUAUCAGCAGCAGCGAGUCAUAGACCGAGACCAGCAGGAACAACAAUCCCACCACAACUUCUCCAGAAAUCACCUCGUCUGGUUUCAUUGAGUUAUUUUAUUUCCACACAGAACAGGCUGGAUGUUAUCAGCACACAGAAAUCACAUGAACUUGUGCAUUAAAACAUGUUAGUGGAUUAUCCACCAAUGAAUGAGGAGAUUUUGGACGUGUUAACAGACGACAGAUUAGGCCUGGGUCUGUAAUAUUGUUAGCAAACACAGAAUAUUAACCAGGAACAGCUCAUUCAUUUCCAUCAUUUAAUUUGGCUAAUACAAACCACACCUCAUCUCCUAAUGCACUGAGCUUUCCUCAUCUCUGACUCUAACAGACUGCUGGGUCCAUGGUGUUGCUCCCCCUGCUGAGAAGGUGCAAACAGCUGCCUUCUUUGCGUCACAUACAUCAGUCUGUCCACUGUCAUUCUUUCCAUGACUUUCCCUGGAUGAGAUGUUAGAGCUGUAGGCCUAUAACCUGUGGUCUUAGUGGGGUCUUUCCCUGGUUUCACAGUUCUUCCCAGCUUCCUGAUAUAUUCUAUUAUAGAAGAGCAGCAGAGCAUCCUCUAACUGCUUCAUCAUGAUGUAAUACACCUGAUCCUUCCCAGGUGAAGUCCUUUUUAUGCAUUUAAGAGCUGCUUUGAAUUCAAACAUUACAAACUGAACAUUAGAACUAUCCUCCUCUCCAGGAUUUUCCUGAUUUAACAUUUCAAUAUGAUUCAUUUUUGUUCUCUCACAUCUGCUGUUAUCACUUCAAUUAUUCCCACUGUGGAUUUGAUCAAACUGUUUGCCCAGCAUCUCUACAUUUUCCCAUCCACACUACCUGUAGCUCAUUAAUACUAUUAAUAUUGGAAACUGCUGUUGAAGCCUGAUGGUGACACUUUAUGGUGAAGAAGUUAAUUGCAGUAACAGAACUGGCUGGCUUAUGAUACACUGGACAUUUCCAUCAGUGCGUUUAUGAAGCCACUGUCAUGUAAAAAAAAGUGUCUGACAUUCAAAAAUCCUACCAGAGGCUCGACAAAGCUGAACUGAAAGACAGCACGGGCAAUAAAUCAGAGCAGCACAGAACUUAAGCACACGGUCCAUAGAAGCUGGGGUCUACAGGUGUACCAGGACAAGCUUAGUGGU
This is a long non-coding RNA of Oreochromis niloticus (Nile tilapia), 1244 nucleotides long. RefSeq lists it as uncharacterized. The record is from RefSeq and is a predicted model, not a curated record. Lineage: Eukaryota; Metazoa; Chordata; Actinopteri; Cichliformes; Cichlidae. The transcript is spliced from 2 exons.